CCUACGGGAGGCAGCAGUGAGGAAUAUUGGUCAAUGGGCGUAAGCCUGAACCAGCCAAGUCGCGUGAGGGAUGAAGGUUCUAUGGAUCGUAAACCUCUUUUAUAAGGGAAUAAAGUGUGGGACGUGUCCUGUUUUGUAUGUACCUUAUGAAUAAGGAUCGGCUAACUCCGUGCCAGCAGCCGCGGUAAUACGGAUGAUCCGAGCGUUAUCCGGAUUUAUUGGGUUUAAAGGGUGCGUAGGCGGCCUUUUAAGUCAGCGGUGAAAGUCUGUGGCUCAACCAUAGAAUUGCCGUUGAAACUGGGAGGCUUGAGUAGGUUUGAGGCAGGCGGAAUGCGUGGUGUAGCGGUGAAAUGCUUAGAUAUCACGCAGAACCCCGAUUGCGAAGGCAGCCUGCCAAGCCAUGACUGACGCUGAUGCACGAAAGCGUGGGGAUCAAACAGGAUUAGAUACCCCAGUAGUC
Molecule: ribosomal RNA, 460 nt
Filed under: uncultured bacterium
Lineage: Bacteria
Description: partial 16S ribosomal RNA
Rfam family: Bacterial small subunit ribosomal RNA
Source: RNAcentral